RNAcentral lists this ribosomal RNA (429 nucleotides) under Gemmatimonadota bacterium. Its description in RNAcentral is "Gemmatimonadetes bacterium partial 16S ribosomal RNA". It matches the Rfam family "Bacterial small subunit ribosomal RNA", at positions 355 to 776 of the family's 1533-position model. Lineage: Bacteria; Pseudomonadati; Gemmatimonadota. The record is from RNAcentral.
UAGGGAAUCUUCGGCAAUGGACGAAAGUCUGACCGAGCAACGCCGCGUGAGUGAAGAAGGUUUUCGGAUCGUAAAACUCUGUUGUUAGAGAAGAACAAGGACGUUAGUAACUGAACGUCCCCUGACGGUAUCUAACCAGAAAGCCACGGCUAACUACGUGCCAGCAGCCGCGGUAAUACGUAGGUGGCAAGCGUUGUCCGGAUUUAUUGGGCGUAAAGCGAGCGCAGGCGGUUUCUUAAGUCUGAUGUGAAAGCCCCCGGCUCAACCGGGGAGGGUCAUUGGAAACUGGGAGACUUGAGUGCAGAAGAGGAGAGUGGAAUUCCAUGUGUAGCGGUGAAAUGCGUAGAUAUAUGGAGGAACACCAGUGGCGAAGGCGGCUCUCUGGUCAGUAACUGACGCUGAGGCUCGAAAGCGUGGGGAGCAAACAGG